CUGUUCGUGAUCUCGCUUGAUUUCGUAAUUUUAUAUUGCCUUUCAAUCCUUGAUAUUUUUCUUUAUUUAUUAUUUCCAAAUGGGCUUUGAGAAUUUGUAAUUAAUACGGAAUUGAAAAGGCAUAAAAGGGUUAUACAGAGGGAUAAAGCUCGACUCGACUUGUUAACUCAUAACAUUUAUGCAUCAAGUCAUUGAUUUAAGUUGCACGUACCUUCAGCUUCCUUAAAGUCGGAUACAUCAUUUGAAUUGUUGUCUCCAAAGUAUUUAGCAAACCGCACAAUUUCAUUGAGGUAAUUUAAUGUACAAAUAAUGUCGUCAAAAAUGGAACGCUCACAGGGAUGUACAAAUUCGUCCACUACAUUUGAGAC
This is a long non-coding RNA of Drosophila nasuta, 368 nucleotides long. RefSeq lists it as uncharacterized. The record is from RefSeq and is a predicted model, not a curated record. NCBI's taxonomy places the organism in Eukaryota, Metazoa, Arthropoda, Insecta, Diptera, Drosophilidae. The transcript is spliced from 2 exons.